Molecule: non-coding RNA, 541 nt
Organism: Cinara cedri
Lineage: Eukaryota; Metazoa; Arthropoda; Insecta; Hemiptera; Aphididae
Source: the annotation of a GenBank genome assembly
CCCCGCCGCAGUUUUUCAGGUGCACUGUCGAUAACGGAAAUAAUAAUAAUAUUAAUAGCAAUACGAACGCAAUGUAUUAUUGCCGAGCGUGUACACAGGUCGAUGUCGUCACGUGCAAAACAUAAUACCCGGAGCGCAGUAAGUUUACAACAUAAUAAUGCGCGAUAGAUAAAAGACAUCGGUACAAUGCGUUUAAUUUCCCGUCGAUAAUCGUCGAGGUUGUAUACGAUACGUCUCAUUAGACGCUGUUUUUGAUAAGUUCUCCGCGAGGUCAGUGUGUAUUUGUUUUGCGGCGUACGCGGGCAACGUAAAAACGUCAUCUCAUCGCCUCGGCCGCGAUCCGAAACGACUGCAAUUUAUCAUUUUUGACCAACUGUAACGGGCACGCAAUAGCUAUUUUACGCACACGCAUAAUCGCUAUACGUAUACACGGACAGAUUGUUAUAUAAUAUUUAUCGUCGUUUCGCUUGGACUUUUUCGGGUUUUUUCGUCCUCAUUUAAGACGUAUACGCGCACUGUCGAACGGUCACUGAGAUAUCGU